Molecule: ribosomal RNA, 222 nt
Filed under: uncultured bacterium
Lineage: Bacteria
Description: partial 16S ribosomal RNA
Rfam family: Bacterial small subunit ribosomal RNA
Source: RNAcentral
CGACGUGAGUAACCUGCCUUGGAGUGGGGAAUAACACAGUGAAAACUGUGCUAAUACCGCAUAAUGCAUUUGGGUCGCAUGAUUCUGAAUGCCAAAGAUUUAUCGCUCUGAGGUGGACUCGCGUCUGAUUAGCUAGUUGGCGGGGUAACGGCCCACCAAGGCGACGAUCAGUAGCCGGACUGAGAGGUUGGCCGGCCACAUUGGGACUGAGACACGGCCCAG